RNAcentral lists this ribosomal RNA (1631 nucleotides) under Salmonella enterica. RNAcentral's name for it is "partial 23S ribosomal RNA". It matches the Rfam family "Bacterial large subunit ribosomal RNA", at positions 711 to 2238 of the family's 2925-position model. The record is from RNAcentral. Lineage: Bacteria; Pseudomonadati; Pseudomonadota; Gammaproteobacteria; Enterobacterales; Enterobacteriaceae. RNAcentral also lists the same sequence under 1 other name.
AGACCCGAAACCCGGUGAUCUAGCCAUGGGCAGGUUGAAGGUUGGGUAACACUAACUGGAGGACCGAACCGACUAAUGUUGAAAAAUUAGCGGAUGACCUGUGGCUGGGGGUGAAAGGCCAAUCAAACCGGGAGAUAGCUGGUUCUCCCCGAAAGCUAUUUAGGUAGCGCCUCGUGAAUUCAUCUCCGGGGGUAGAGCACUGUUUCGGCUAGGGGGCCAUCCCGGCUUACCAACCCGAUGCAAACUGCGAAUACCGGAGAAUGUUAUCACGGGAGACACACGGCGGGUGCUAACGUCCGUCGUGAAGAGGGAAACAACCCAGACCGCCAGCUAAGGUCCCAAAGUCAUGGUUAAGUGGGAAACGAUGUGGGAAGGCCCAGACAGCCAGGAUGUUGGCUUAGAAGCAGCCAUCAUUUAAAGAAAGCGUAAUAGCUCACUGGUCGAGUCGGCCUGCGCGGAAGAUGUAACGGGGCUAAACCAUGCACCGAAGCUGCGGCAGCGAACGUAUCACCCAAGACAACUUUACGGAGUUGACGAUUGACGGAGCGAAGCGACGUCAAAGCGUUCAUUAAAGUCGAGUUGGCUUAGGGAUACGUUCGUUGGGUAGGGGAGCGUUCUGUAAGCCUGUGAAGGUGUGUCGUGAGGCAUGCUGGAGGUAUCAGAAGUGCGAAUGCUGACAUAAGUAACGAUAAAGCGGGUGAAAAGCCCGCUCGCCGGAAGACCAAGGGUUCCUGUCCAACGUUAAUCGGGGCAGGGUGAGUCGACCCCUAAGGCGAGGCCGAAAGGCGUAGUCGAUGGGAAACGGGUUAAUAUUCCCGUACUUGGUGUUACUGCGAAGGGGGGACGGAGAAGGCUAUGUUGGCCGGGCGACGGUUGUCCCGGUUUAAGCGUGUAGGUGUGUGUUCCAGGUAAAUCCGGUUCACUUUAACACUGAGGCGUGACGACGAGGCACUACGGUGCUGAAGCAACAAAUGCCCUGCUUCCAGGAAAAGCCUCUAAGCAUCAGGUAACAUCAAAUCGUACCCCAAACCGACACAGGUGGUCAGGUAGAGAAUACCAAGGCGCUUGAGAGAACUCGGGUGAAGGAACUAGGCAAAAUGGUGCCGUAACUUCGGGAGAAGGCACGCUGACACGUAGGUGAAGUGAUUUACUCAUGGAGCUGAAGUCAGUCGAAGAUACCAGCUGGCUGCAACUGUUUAUUAAAAACACAGCACUGUGCAAACACGAAAGUGGACGUAUACGGUGUGACGCCUGCCCGGUGCCGGAAGGUUAAUUGAUGGGGUCAGCGCAAGCGAAGCUCCUGAUCGAAGCCCCGGUAAACGGCGGCCGUAACUAUAACGGUCCUAAGGUAGCGAAAUUCCUUGUCGGGUAAGUUCCGACCUGCACGAAUGGCGUAAUGAUGGCCAGGCUGUCUCCACCCGAGACUCAGUGAAAUUGAACUCGCUGUGAAGAUGCAGUGUACCCGCGGCAAGACGGAAAGACCCCGUGAACCUUUACUAUAGCUUGACACUGAACAUUGAGCCUUGAUGUGUAGGAUAGGUGGGAGGCUUUGAAGUGUGGACGCCAGUCUGCAUGGAGCCGACCUUGAAAUACCACCCUUUAAUGUUUGAUGUUCUAACGUGGACCCGUAA